GACGUAGGGGGCGAGCGUUGUUCGGAAUUAUUGGGCGUAAAGAGCUUGUAGGCGGGAAAGUAAGUCUUUGAAUAAAGGCUAAGGCUCAACUUUAGUAAGUUCGGAGAUACUGCUUUUCUUGAGAGCAGGAGAGGGGAGUGGAAUUCCUAGUGUAGCGGUGAAAUGCGUAGAUAUUAGGAGGGACACCAGUGGCGAAGGCGGCUCUCUGGCCUGUUUCUGACGCUGAGGAGCGAAAGCUGGGGGAGCGAACGGGAUUAGAUACCUUGUAGU
RNAcentral lists this ribosomal RNA (270 nucleotides) under uncultured bacterium. RNAcentral's name for it is "partial 16S ribosomal RNA". It matches the Rfam family "Bacterial small subunit ribosomal RNA", at positions 524 to 794 of the family's 1533-position model. The record is from RNAcentral.